UACGUAGGGGGCGAGCGUUGUCCGGAUUUAUUGGGUUUAAAGGGUGCGUAAGCGGAAUGAUAAGUCAGUGGUGAAAGCCUGCAGCUUAACUGCAGAACUGCCAUUGAUACUGUCAAUCUUGAGUAUAUUUGAUGUGGGCGGAAUGUGUCAUGUAGCGGUGAAAUGCUUAGAUAUGACACAGAACACCGAUUGCGAAGGCAGCUCACAAAACUAUAACUGACGCUGAGGCACGAAAGCGUGGGUAUCAAACAGG
This 253-nucleotide ribosomal RNA is filed under the name uncultured prokaryote. Its description in RNAcentral is "partial 16S ribosomal RNA". It matches the Rfam family "Bacterial small subunit ribosomal RNA", at positions 524 to 776 of the family's 1533-position model. The record is from RNAcentral.